This 347-nucleotide ribosomal RNA is filed under the name uncultured bacterium. Its description in RNAcentral is "partial 16S ribosomal RNA". It matches the Rfam family "Bacterial small subunit ribosomal RNA", at positions 338 to 682 of the family's 1533-position model. The record is from RNAcentral.
CCUACGGGUGGCAGCAGUGAGGAAUAUUGGUCAAUGGGCGCGAGCCUGAACCAGCCAAGUAGCGUGAAGGAUGACUGCCCUACGGGUUGUAAACUUCUGUUAUAAAGGAAUAAAGUGAGGCACGUGUGCCUUUUUGUAUGUACUUUAGGAAUAAGGAUCGGCUAACACCGUGCCAGCAGCCGAGGUAAUACGGAGGUUCCGAGCGUUAUCCGGAUUUCUUGGGUUUACAGGGAGCGUAGAUGGGUUGUUAAGUCAGUUGUGAAAGUUUGCGGCUCAACCGUAAAAUUGCAAUUGAUACUGGCAGCCUUUAGUCCAGUUGAGGUAGGCGGCAUUCGUGUUGUAGCGGU